Salmo salar (Atlantic salmon) is the source of this 58-nucleotide non-coding RNA. The record is from Rfam. Lineage: Eukaryota; Metazoa; Chordata; Actinopteri; Salmoniformes; Salmonidae.
UAGCUCAGUUUGUAGAGCAUGGUGUUUGCAACGCCAGGGUUGUGGGUUCGAUUCCCAC